This 109-nucleotide small nuclear RNA is filed under the name Schistosoma margrebowiei. The record is from RNAcentral. Lineage: Eukaryota; Metazoa; Platyhelminthes; Trematoda; Strigeidida; Schistosomatidae.
GUGUCAUCCUUCGGCGGUACAUAUAACUAAAAUUGGAACGAUACAGACUAGAUUAGCAUGGCCCCCGCGCAAGGAUGACACGCAAACUCGUGAAGCGUUCCAUAUUUUU